AUCUCAUACCCCCAUCCCCCACAUCCCACUUCUCUCGCAGAGUCACGGCACACACAUUCAACCUAAACCUAAUUCACCGCCGCCGCCGCCACGGACCUGCCCGUCGAUCUGCUCACGCCGUCGCUGGUUCCCGCGUCGCCGGCCUCCCUUCCAAAGUCGCUGCCCCCAACCAGCGCGCGCCCGUUGGUCCCCGUGCGCCUGGCCUCCCUUCUCUUAUCCAGCAAUCAAGGAGCAACAGCACCGUCCGUCGCGCCGAGUAGCAGCAGCAUCGUCCACCGGCAAGGAGCAGUAGCGUGCAGCGCCUUCCGGCAUAAAGGAUCCUCCGCGCCGACUGCUGCUUAGGUGCCACCGACUGUUCUUCUUCCUCCACGCAGACGCCUCUCCCGGUUGAUUCCCCUUGCGCCGCCUCCAGAUCUCAACAGAUGGAUCUGUCAGUAAGUUGAAAUUCAGUGGAGUUGGUUCGGUAUUCGAAAAUAUGGCAUGUAAAAGAGGAGGAAGAGAACUCCCUGCGUAUUAUGAACAAUCGAGGUCCGCAAAUAUUGCAGAAAACGAGAGGAAUAUGAGAGGUCUUAUAAAUCUGAAAAAGAAUUUAGCAUUGGGAGAAAACAGAAGGCAGAUUGCGGAAGUAGGUAGCUUAUCACAGCCACCCAAGAAAAAAAAGUCAAUGAACUCCACAUGUGAAGAUAGAAAUGGAGGACAUAACCUGCGUUCAGACUACGAAGAUGUUGAAGCUCCCAAUUACGAACCCAUACAGGAUGGCUUGGAGGACAGUCAAGGUGAAAAUAUGAGGAGAACAAGGGGAGGAAGCAAGCUCCCUGCAUAUUACAAACAAUUGAGGCAUGCGAAUAUAGCAGAAAAUAGGAGGAAGCUGGAAGCUCUUAUAGAACUGAAAAGGAAUUUAGCAUUGGUAGAAAAGAUGAGACAUGUUGAGGAAGUAGGAAAUUAGCUAUGGGAGAAAACAAGAGUCAUCAUUGCAGAGUUUAGGGACAAAGUGAAGAAAGUACCAAGUCAACCAGUUGAUCUAAGAUGUUCCAGUGAGGUGGUGAUCGCUCUUGUUCAUAACAUGGUUGACACAUUUUGUUCAUAUGGAAGUUGAUGUCAGCUUGGGAUUGAAGACUUUGUCUCUUCCAUAAUAUAUUGUAGUAGUGUUCAAACAUCUGGUGUGUUAGGAACUUGGCCAUCAUAUUGUGCAACAGACCACUGCCUAAAUGUUGACUUAUGUAUCUCCUUACUGGUUUUAACUUGAGUGAAGAAACUAGAAUCUUCUAUGUAUGUUGAAUAAAUGCAUUGAUUAAUGGUAUCUUGUGAUGAGUAUAAGAAUGCAAUUGUUUGUAUA
Triticum urartu is the source of this 1336-nucleotide non-coding RNA. NCBI's taxonomy places the organism in Eukaryota, Viridiplantae, Streptophyta, Magnoliopsida, Poales, Poaceae. The record is from RefSeq and is a predicted model, not a curated record.